GACGAACGCUGGCGGCGUGCUUAACACAUGCAAGUCGAACGAAGAGCGAUGGAAGCUUGCUUCUAUCAAUCUUAGUGGCGAACGGGUGAGUAACGCGUAAUCAACCUGCCCUUCAGAGGGGGACAACAGUUGGAAACGACUGCUAAUACCGCAUACGAUCUAAUCUCGGCAUCGAGGAUAGAUGAAAGGUGGCCUCUACAUGUAAGCUAUCACUGAAGGAGGGGAUUGCGUCUGAUUAGCUAGUUGGAGGGGUAACGGCCCACCAAGGCGAUGAUCAGUAGCCGGUCUGAGAGGAUGAACGGCCACAUUGGGACUGAGACACGGCCCAGACUCCUACGGGAGGCAGUAGUGGGGAAUCUUCCGCAAUGGACGAAAGUCUGACGGAGCAACGCCGCGUGAGUGAUGACGGCCUUCGGGUUGUAAAGCUCUGUUAAUCGGGACGAAAGGCCUUCUUGCGAAUAGUGAGAAGGAUGGACG
RNAcentral lists this ribosomal RNA (477 nucleotides) under Veillonella parvula. RNAcentral describes it as "bacterial SSU rRNA". It matches the Rfam family "Bacterial small subunit ribosomal RNA", at positions 28 to 474 of the family's 1533-position model. Lineage: Bacteria; Bacillati; Bacillota; Negativicutes; Veillonellales; Veillonellaceae. The record is from RNAcentral.